GGAAGACUUAAUAGGCUGCAUUAAGCUGGUGGAUGGCCAUGGGGGCCUAGGAGACAAAGCGUACUUUAUCUGGGCAGUAACCUGCUAAAUAAUAACUGUUAAACAUUAAAAUAGAGGCAAUCAUCAGCCCGCUACCCAGUUGUGGGCAAAGUAUGUCCACCAGUCCUUCACGACCUGGCUCUCUGGUCUGUGGGUCUGGAAUUU
Molecule: non-coding RNA, 204 nt
Organism: Pelobates cultripes (western spadefoot toad)
Lineage: Eukaryota; Metazoa; Chordata; Amphibia; Anura; Pelobatidae
Source: the annotation of a GenBank genome assembly